AACGAACGCUGGCGGCAGGCCUAACACAUGCAAGUCGAGCGGGCAUCCUUCGGGGAUGUUAGCGGCGGACGGGUGAGUAACGCGUGGGAACGUGCCCUUUGCUACGGAAUAGCCUCGGGAAACUGAGAGUAAUACCGUAUGUGCCCUUCGGGGGAAAGAUUUAUCGGCAAAGGAUCGGCCCGCGUUGGAUUAGGUAGUUGGUGGGGUAAUGGCCUACCAAGCCGACGAUCCAUAGCUGGUUUGAGAGGAUGAUCAGCCACACUGGGACUGAGACACGGCCCAGACUCCUACGGGAGGCAGCAGUGGGGAAUCUUAGACAAUGGGGGAAACCCUGAUCUAGCCAUGCCGCGUGAGCGAUGAAGGCCUUAGGGUUGUAAAGCUCUUUCAGUGGGGAAGAUAAUGACGGUACCCACAGAAGAAGCCCCGGCUAACUCCGUG
This 438-nucleotide ribosomal RNA is filed under the name uncultured bacterium. Its description in RNAcentral is "bacterial SSU rRNA". It matches the Rfam family "Bacterial small subunit ribosomal RNA", at positions 29 to 507 of the family's 1533-position model. The record is from RNAcentral.